CGGCGAGUGAAGCGGCAAUAGCUCAAAUUUGAAAUCUGGCUCUGCUCUAGGGUCCGAGUUGUAAUUUGUAGAGGGUGCUUUGGCACUGAUGGCGGUCUAAGUUCCUUGGAACAGGACAUCACAGAGGGUGAGAAUCCCGUACGUGGUCGCUAAUCUUUGCCGUGUAAAGCCCCUUCAACGAGUCGAGUUGUUUGGGAAUGCAGCUCUAAAUGGGAGGUAAAUUUCUUCUAAAGCUAAAUAUUGGCCAGAGACCGAUAGCGCACAAGUAGAGUGAUCGAAAGAUGAAAAGCACUUUGGAAAGAGAGUCAAAAAGCACGUGAAAUUGUUGAAAGGGAAGCGCUUGCCGCCAGACUUGUCUGCAGUUGCUCACCUAGGCGUUCAGCCUGGGGCACUCUUCUGUAGGCAGGCCAGCAUCAGUUUGGGCAGCCGGAUAAAGGUCUCUGACACGUUCCUUCUACCUUUGUGUAGAUGGCCAUAUAGGGGAGACGUCAUGCGGUUAGCCUGGACUGAGGUCCGCGCAUUGCUAGGAUGCUGGCGUAAUGGCUGCAAGCGGCCCGUCUUGAAACACGGACCAAGGAGUCUAACAUCUAUGCGAGUGUUUGGGUGUCAAGCCCGAGCGCGCAAUAAACGUGAACGGAGGUGGGAACUCUCUCUUGGGGGUGCACCAUCGACCGAUCCUGAUGUCUUCGGAUGGAUUUGAGUAAGAGCAUAGCUGUUGGGACCCGAAAGAUGGUGAACUAUGCUUGAAUAGGGUGAAGCCAGAGGAAACUCUGGUGGAGGCUCGCAGCGGUUCUGACGUGCAAAUCGAUCGUCAAAUUUGG
RNAcentral lists this ribosomal RNA (821 nucleotides) under Neohelicascus aquaticus. Its description in RNAcentral is "partial large subunit ribosomal RNA". It matches the Rfam family "Eukaryotic large subunit ribosomal RNA", at positions 87 to 914 of the family's 3401-position model. The record is from RNAcentral. Lineage: Eukaryota; Fungi; Ascomycota; Dothideomycetes; Pleosporales; Morosphaeriaceae.